UACGUAGGGGGCAAGCGUUGUCCGGAAUUAUUGGGCGUAAAGGGCGCGUAGGCGGCUUUGCAAGUGACGGGUGAAAUCCCUCGGCUUAACCGAGGAACUGCCUGUCAGACUGCAUGGCUUGAGACCGGGAGAGGUGAGUGGAAUUCCCAGUGUAGCGGUGAAAUGCGUAGAUAUUGGGAGGAACACCAGUGGCGAAGGCGGCUCACUGGACCGGUACUGACGCUGAUGCGCGAAAGCGUGGGGAGCAAACAGG
RNAcentral lists this ribosomal RNA (253 nucleotides) under uncultured bacterium. RNAcentral describes it as "partial 16S ribosomal RNA". It matches the Rfam family "Bacterial small subunit ribosomal RNA", at positions 524 to 776 of the family's 1533-position model. The record is from RNAcentral.